GGAAGUGGCGUAGCUUAAUGGUAGAGCACCUGCCUUGGAUGCAGAAGGUCCUGGGUUCAAUCCCCAGCUUUUCCA
Elgaria multicarinata webbii is the source of this 75-nucleotide non-coding RNA. The record is from the annotation of a RefSeq genome assembly. Lineage: Eukaryota; Metazoa; Chordata; Lepidosauria; Squamata; Anguidae.